Molecule: ribosomal RNA, 421 nt
Rfam family: Archaeal large subunit ribosomal RNA
UUCUGCUCAAUGGUUUAUCUAAAUAGCCGCAGUACCCUGACUGUGCGAAGGUAGCAUAAUCAAUUGGCUUAUAAUUGAAGUCUGGAAUGAAUGAAUAAAUGGGUGAAUACUGUCUCUUUAAAAUAUAAUGAACUUACUAAGGAAGUGAAAAUUCUUCUAACAGUAUAAUAGACGAGAAGACCCUAGAAAUUUUUUAUAUUGUAUAUUAAUUAUUCUAUUUUGUUGGGGCGACAGAGUAACAUUUAACUUACUUUACCUUUAAGAAUUAAAUUAUAUGAAAAAUUAAAUUACUCUAGGGAUAACAGCAUAAUUUUAAAGAGUUUGUGACCUCGAUGUUGGACUAGGAAAUAUAUUGUUCAGAAGAUAAUAUAAAAAGCUCUGUUCGAGCAGUCCUUCCUACGUGAUCUGAGUUCAGACCGGA